AUUGAACGCUGGCGGCAGGCCUAAUACAUGCAAGUCGAACGAGUGGCGGACGGGUGAGUAAUGUCUGGGAAACUGCACGAUGGAGGGGGAUAACUACUGGAAACGGUAGCUAAUACCGCAUACCAUCGGAUGUGCCCAUAUGGGAUUAGCUAGUAGGUGGGGUAACGGCUCACCUAGGCGACGAUCCGUAGCUGGUCGGAGAGGAUGACCAGCCACCCUGGAACUGAGACACUGUCCAGACUCGUAGGGGAGGCAGCAGUGAGACAUAUUGCGCAAUGAGCGCAAGCCAAAUGCAGCCAUGCCGCGUGUAUGAAGAGGGCCUUCGGGUUGUAAAGUACUUUCAGCGAGGAGGCGUUACUCGCAGAAGAAGCACCGGCUAACUCCGUGCCAGCAGCCGCGGUAAUAC
RNAcentral lists this ribosomal RNA (406 nucleotides) under uncultured bacterium. RNAcentral's name for it is "partial 16S ribosomal RNA". It matches the Rfam family "Bacterial small subunit ribosomal RNA", at positions 30 to 526 of the family's 1533-position model. The record is from RNAcentral.